GCAUCGGAACGUAUCCCGUAUGGGGACAACCCAGCGAAAGCUGGGCUAAUACCGCAUAUGCUCUACGGAGGAAAGCAGGGGACUCGCAAGGGCCUUGUGCUAUGGGAGCGGCCGAUGUCCGAUUAGCUAGUUGGUGGGGUAAAGGCUUACCAAGGCGACGAUCGGUAGCUGGUCUGAGAGGAUGAUCAGCCACACUGGGACUGAGACACGGCCCAG
RNAcentral lists this ribosomal RNA (216 nucleotides) under uncultured bacterium. RNAcentral's name for it is "partial 16S ribosomal RNA". It matches the Rfam family "Bacterial small subunit ribosomal RNA", at positions 115 to 334 of the family's 1533-position model. The record is from RNAcentral.